CCUACGGGAGGCAGCAGUGGGGAAUAUUGGACAAUGGAGGAAACUCUGACCCAGCAAUGCCGCGUGAAUGAAGAAGGUCUUCGGAUUGUAAAGUUCUUUAGUCAGGGAAGAAUAAAAUGACGGUACCUGAAGAAUAAGCUCCGGCUAACUACGUGCCAGCAGCCGCAGUAAUAAGUAGGGAGCAAGCGUUGUUCGGAAUGACUGGGCGUAAAGGGUGCGUAGGCGGUUAUACAAGUUAGAAGUGAAAUACCCAGGGCUUAACUCGGGUGCUGCUUCUAAAACUGUAAGACUUGAGUGCAGGAGAGGUUAGUGGAAUUCCUAGUGUAGCGGUGGAAUGCGUAGAUAUUAGGAGGAACACCAGAGGCGAAGGCGGCUAACUGGACUGCAACUGACGCUGAGGCACGAAAGUGUGGGGAGCAAACAGGAUUAGAUACCCUUGUAGUC
RNAcentral lists this ribosomal RNA (444 nucleotides) under uncultured bacterium. RNAcentral describes it as "partial 16S ribosomal RNA". It matches the Rfam family "Bacterial small subunit ribosomal RNA", at positions 338 to 795 of the family's 1533-position model. The record is from RNAcentral.